CGGCGGACGGGUGAGUAACACGUGGGUAACCUGCCUGUAAGACUGGGAUAACUCCGGGAAACCGGGGCUAAUACCGGAUGCUUGAUUGAACCGCAUGGUUCAAUCAUAAAAGGUGGCUUUUAGCUACCACUUGCAGAUGGACCCGCGGCGCAGUAGCUAGUUGGUGAGGUAACGGCUCACCAAGGCGACGAUGCGUAGCCGACCUGAGAGGGUGAUCGGCCACACUGGGACUGAGACACGGCCCAGACUCCUACGGGAGGCAGCAGUAGGGAAUCUUCCGCAAUGGACGAAAGUCUGACGGAGCAACGCCGCGUGAGUGAUGAAGGUUUUCGGAUCGUAAAACUCUGUUGUUAGGGAAGAACAAGUACCGUUCGAAUAGGGCGGUACCUUGACGGUACCUAACCAGAAAGCCACGGCUAACUACGUGCCAGCAGCCGCGGUAAUACGUAGGUGGCAAGCGUUGUCCGGAAUUAUUGGGCGUAAAGCGCGCGCAGGCGGUUUCUUAAGUCUGAUGUGAAAGCCCCCGGCUCAACCGGGGAGGGUCAUUGGAAACUGGGGAACUUGAGUGCAGAAGAGGAGAGUGGAAUUCCACGUGUAGCGGUGAAAUGCGUAGAGAUGUGGAGGAACACCAGUGGCGAAGGCGACUCUCUGGUCUG
This 656-nucleotide ribosomal RNA is filed under the name uncultured Bacilli bacterium. RNAcentral describes it as "bacterial SSU rRNA". It matches the Rfam family "Bacterial small subunit ribosomal RNA", at positions 96 to 736 of the family's 1533-position model. Lineage: Bacteria; Bacillati; Bacillota; Bacilli. The record is from RNAcentral.